Molecule: transfer RNA, 87 nt
Filed under: Candidatus Pacebacteria bacterium CG2_30_36_39
Lineage: Bacteria; Bacillati; Minisyncoccota
Also listed under: 2 other names
Description: tRNA-Leu
Rfam family: tRNA
About the family: Transfer RNA (tRNA) molecules are approximately 80 nucleotides in length. Their secondary structure includes four short double-helical elements and three loops (D, anti-codon, and T loops). Further hydrogen bonds mediate the characteristic L-shaped molecular structure. tRNAs have two regions of fundamental functional importance: the anti-codon, which is responsible for specific mRNA codon recognition, and the 3' end, to which the tRNAs corresponding amino acid is attached (by aminoacyl-tRNA synthetases). tRNAs cope with the degeneracy of the genetic code in two manners: having more than one tRNA (with a specific anti-codon) for a particular amino acid; and 'wobble' base-pairing, i.e. permitting non-standard base-pairing at the 3rd anti-codon position.
Source: RNAcentral
GCCGCGAUGGCGGAAUUGGUAGACGCGCGAGACUUAAAAUCUCGUUCUAGCAAUAGAGUGUGGGUUCGAUUCCCACCCGCGGCACAA